ACUAUAAAUAUAGAAAGAUUGUCCUUGAUAAAGCAGAUUCUAACUGAGUGUGUUGAAGUGAUAAUUGGGAUCCCGGGACGCUACAUAAGUUUAGAGAGCAUAUUUUAUACUUUGGGACUGCUCUUUGUCUUUGAUGUGAACAUUUAUUCUUCUAGUUUAAGGUUAUUUAAGUGAUUGAUCCUGUCGUAAGUGUUCUCACUACCAACAACCAAUCGACAAUAUUUCAUUUUAGCGUUGUCUUUGCCGUAACGUUGGCUUCGCGUUACUUUUGUUUUAAAUACCUUGAUCGCGUUAAAAGAGUUAUUUUUCAGGCCUGUGACAUAGCCAAAAGACUUCGCAUUAAUGUCCUUGUGAUUUUAUAGAGAUAUCUCUAGAACUGAGGAUUUUAGAAAGCGUCAUCUGUACUUUCUCAAAGUUGUCAAGAUAUAUUGUUUACGCCCAACACGCAUAAGAUUACAUAACUCAAAAUGAUUCGAGCAAUUCGAGCAAAACCGGUCUUUUGUUAAAAGGACAACUAGUUAAUUAAACGAAAAUGGUCCUUUUAUCGGUCCUUUGUAUCGUCAUCGAUCCGUGUCGUUGAACAAUGAAAAAUUUGUCAUGAAAUUAUAAAAUAGCCGAUUUUGUGAGAAAAAUGCGGGUCUACGGAGUGGGAACUUUCCGGAUUUGAACUCAGCGUCGGUGCUUGAAAGUGUUAGUUCCCGUAAAAAUAUUUCAGAUCUAAGACAUGCUUAAUGAAAGUGAACGAUAUCGGGUCACAACACACGGACUAAUAGCAGAAUCAAGAGUAUAAUCUCAAUUGACCUUUCGCACGGCUGAUUUUCCCACCAAUUUUGGGGUACUGCCUCUCCCACGUUUGAAGGUCUCCGCACUACGAAAUGCCUCUUUGUAGUAUUGUAGUUGGUUGUAUAAUGGUAAAUUUAGAUUUUGGCCUUCGUGAAAAAGGCCAAUUGACCCCAUGCAAGUUGGCCCUUUGCUUGCCCCCAGUUGUAAGCAACUGAGCAAGAUUUUCAUAUGAACUGCAUGGGUCCUUUUUAUUACUCAUAAAAGGCUCAACCUCGUUGAGAAAGUUGCAUCUGCCUGCUUUCUCAUAUGCACAUUCUUGACAUCUCAUACUCAAGUCAACACAGAAUGGUGCUAAUGUACUACUGUAUAUAGGGAAAAGGCCCUAAUCACUCAUCAGGUUAAUUUAAGCCCCGUUUACACUACGCUCAAUUUUUGGUACGGCACAGAUAAAAUUGGUACUACCGUACCACUUUUAUCAAAAAUCGAGCGUAAUGUAAACGGGGUAAGACUUUACCCUGAGUACAUGUAGACUGUAGUUGUAAUUCCUUAAAAAUGAUCUGCCCAUACAUUGUGUAUACAGCUAAUGUAAUUCUCUAAAUAAAACUAAUUAUAGGAUUUUUGUCAAGAUUUCAAGGAUUUCUUCAGGCAUUAUAUUUGAUGUUUAAUAGACCUAACCUGCAGGCCUGCAAUUUUAAUAGACCUAACCUGCAGGCCUGCAACGGUCUGACCUAUGAUAGACCUGGAGAGUUCUGUUUUUAUAGUAAUGGUG
Molecule: non-coding RNA, 1552 nt
Organism: Paramuricea clavata
Lineage: Eukaryota; Metazoa; Cnidaria; Anthozoa; Malacalcyonacea; Plexauridae
Source: the annotation of a GenBank genome assembly